RNAcentral lists this ribosomal RNA (440 nucleotides) under uncultured bacterium. Its description in RNAcentral is "partial 16S ribosomal RNA". It matches the Rfam family "Bacterial small subunit ribosomal RNA", at positions 338 to 795 of the family's 1533-position model. The record is from RNAcentral.
CCUACGGGAGGCAGCAGUGGGGAAUAUUGCACAAUGGGGGAAACCCUGAUGCAGCGACGCCGCGUGAGUGAAGAAGUAAUUCGUUAUGUAAAGCUCUAUCAGCAGGGAAGAAAAUGACGGUACCUGAGUAAGAAGCCCCGGCUAACUACGUGCCAGCAGCCGCGGUAAUACGUAGGGGGCAAGCGAUAUCCGGAUUUACUGGGUGUAAAGGGAGCGUAGACGGCAGUGCAAGUCUGGAGUGAAAGGCGGGGGCUCAACCCCCGGACUGCUCUGGAAACUGUACGGCGGGAGUGCAGGAGAGGUAAGUGGAAGUCCUAGUGUAGCGGUGAAAUGCGGAGAUAUUAGGAGGAACACCAGUGGCGAAGGCGGCUUACUGGACUGUAACUGACGUUGAGGCUCGAAAGCGUGGGGAGCAAACAGGAUUAGAUACCCGAGUAGUC